Molecule: ribosomal RNA, 462 nt
Filed under: uncultured bacterium
Lineage: Bacteria
Description: bacterial SSU rRNA
Rfam family: Bacterial small subunit ribosomal RNA
Source: RNAcentral
CUACGGGAGGCAGCAGUAGGGAAUUUUGGACAAUGGGCGCAAGCCUGAUCCAGCCAUGCCGCGUGAGUGAAGAAGGCCUUCGGGUUGUAAAGCUCUUUCGCAAGGGAAGAAAAGCCCCUCAAUAAUACCGGGGGGUCAUGACGGUACCUUGAUAAGAAGCACCGGCUAACUACGUGCCAGCAGCCGCGGUAAUACGUAGGGUGCGAGCGUUAAUCGGAAUUACUGGGCGUAAAGCGUGCGCAGGCGGUUUGACAAGUCAGAUGUGAAAUCCCCGGGCUCAACCUGGGAACUGCGUUUGAAACUGUCAGACUAGAGUGUGUCAGAGGGAGGUAGAAUUCCACGUGUAGCAGUGAAAUGCGUAGAGAUGUGGAGGAACACCGAUGGCGAAGGCAGCCUCCUGGGAUAACACUGACGCUCAUGCACGAAAGCGUGGGGAGCAAACAGGAUUAGAUACCCUCGUAC